This 501-nucleotide ribosomal RNA is filed under the name Triticum aestivum (bread wheat). RNAcentral describes it as "partial small subunit ribosomal RNA". Lineage: Eukaryota; Viridiplantae; Streptophyta; Magnoliopsida; Poales; Poaceae. The record is from RNAcentral.
AUGAAGUUCAACAUGGAAAAUUGUCGUGUAUUGCAUUACUUGAGAAAUUUCCAUGUGUUCUGCAUUUUAGGUAGCGGAGAAUCAGUAAGUUCUACUACUGGUGCAUGCCAUGUUCAAGGAUUUUGCCAUGCUCGAGCAUCCACUGGCUCCAACCUCCACCCGCUGCCGCGUUCCUGGGAUCCGCAACCUCUGACCUCGCGUGGACCUUGGCUGGUUUCUCUAUCCCGAGUGCCGCCGCCGGCCUCCCUGCAGCAUGGCUUCGGUUCCCUCUCCGGUUGCGUCUGCGCCAACCAUCUCUAUGAGACUACCCUAUUCCUUCGCUGGACUACUCCUUCCACCAGCAGCCCCCCUAGCAAACCUCAUGUCUCAUAUUUGUUCUUAUUUUCUUGCAGGAUGCAUCAAAAAGCCAGAUUCACAAAUUCAUCUUCUAUAUGCUUUUCAGUUCAUCGACUUCCCAUUGUUAAGUCCAAUUUAUUUUGUGUUUCAAUCUUCUUCCUAUAG